GUAAUGCAUUCCCAGUGCCCCUGGGUCUGGUCAAACAAAAAUGCAUUUAUCUUUUGGUAGUAGGUGUGUACUUUCUGAUGCUGGCUGCAUAAUGUAUAGCACAAACAAGUAUAAUGCUGAAAGAGAAGCUACAGCAGUAGAAAGGAAUGUAUCCUGAAUGUAAAGCAUUAUUUCAGCUUGUUAAGAUUUUUGGCAGUAUAUGUAACAAUAAGAAGACAUUUCUGAUUUACUCAGGCUACUGUGCCUUUUAAGUUGAGGUGAAGCCAAUUCCUGUGAAGUACAAUCAUUUCUGACAUGACUUGUUUUUCUUUUAGUUGUCCUCAAGGGGGAAAACUGAUACCAGCACUGUACUAAUUUGUGUCAUGAUGAAUGAGGCCAGAAACCAGAAAAAAAACAAACAGAAAUUUGCUCUGGUUGCUGUUAGCAGUUUGUUUUAAUUUAUGUGUGCCACCGGUGUGAACAUUUUAGGAAAAAUCAUGUAACCACAAUAAAAGUGGAUACCAAAUUUACCAAA
Long non-coding RNA from Sander lucioperca (pikeperch), 514 nucleotides. RefSeq lists it as uncharacterized. NCBI's taxonomy places the organism in Eukaryota, Metazoa, Chordata, Actinopteri, Perciformes, Percidae. The transcript is spliced from 2 exons. The record is from RefSeq and is a predicted model, not a curated record.